UCCAGGUCUUGUCCACCAUGGUGGGCCU
This 28-nucleotide small RNA is filed under the name Bombyx mori (domestic silkworm). RNAcentral describes it as "ovarian small RNA-26850". Lineage: Eukaryota; Metazoa; Arthropoda; Insecta; Lepidoptera; Bombycidae. The record is from RNAcentral.